Molecule: ribosomal RNA, 273 nt
Filed under: uncultured bacterium
Lineage: Bacteria
Description: partial 16S ribosomal RNA
Rfam family: Bacterial small subunit ribosomal RNA
Source: RNAcentral
UACAGAGGGUGCAAGCGUUAAUCGGAAUUACUGGGCGUAAAGCGUGCGUAGUCGGUUAUUUAAGUCGGGUGUGAAAUCCCCGGGCUCAACCUGGGAAUUGCAUUCGAUACUGGAUAGCUAGAGUUCGGCAGAGGGAAGCGGAAUUUCGGGUGUAGCGGUGAAAUGCGUAGAUAUCCGAAGGAACAUCAGUGGCGAAAGCGGCUUCCUGGACCAGAACUGACGAUCAGGCACGAAAGCGUGGGGAGCAAACAGGAUUAGAAACCCCGGUAGUCC